UGUGCAGGCGGUUGUUUAAGUUCGGUGUGAAAUCUCCCGGCUCAACUGGGAGGGUGCGCCGAAUACUGAAUGACUAGAGUGCGGGAGAGGAAAGUGGAAUUCCUGGUGUAGCGGUGAAAUGCGUAGAUAUCAGGGGGAACACCGGUGGUGUAGACGGCUUUCUGGACCGUAACUGACGCUGAGACACGAAAGCGUGGGUAGCAAACAGGAUUAGAUACCCUGGUAGUCCACGCCCUAAACGAUGCAUAUUUGGUGUGGGUCAUUCAGUUGAUCCGUGCCGGAGCUAACGCGUUAAAUAUGCCGCCUGGGGAGUACAGUCGCAAGGCUGAA
This 330-nucleotide ribosomal RNA is filed under the name uncultured bacterium. Its description in RNAcentral is "bacterial SSU rRNA". It matches the Rfam family "Bacterial small subunit ribosomal RNA", at positions 568 to 898 of the family's 1533-position model. The record is from RNAcentral.